GUUAGGUCAGAUAGGAUACAGGUUGAGUUAGGUCAGGUAGGGUACAGGUUGAGUUAGGUCAGGUACAGGUUGAGUUAGGUCAGGUACAGGUUGAGUUAGGUCAGAUACAGGUUGAGUUAGGUCAGAUACAGUACAGGUUGAGUUAGGUCAGGUACAGAACAGGUUGAGUUAGGUCAGGUACAGAACAGGUUGAGUUAGGUCAGGUACAGAACAGGUUGAGUUAGGUCAGGUACAGAACAGGUUGAGUUAGGUCAGAUACAGGUUGAGUUAGGUCAGAUACAGGUUGAGUUAGGUCAGAUACAGAACAGGUUGAGUUAGGUCAGGUACAGAACAGGUUGAGUUAGGUCAGAUACAGAACAGGUUGAGUUAGGUCAGGUACAGAACAGGUUGAGUUAGGUCAGAUACAGAACAGGUUGAGUUAGGUCAGGUACAGAACAGGUUGAGUUAGGUCAGAUACAGGUUGAGUUAGGUCAGAUACAGAACAGGUUGAGUUAGGUCAGAUACAGGUUGAGUUAGGUCAGGUACAGAACAGGUUGAGUUAGGUCAGGUGCAGAACAGGUUGAGUUAGGUC
Long non-coding RNA from Oncorhynchus tshawytscha (Chinook salmon), 571 nucleotides. The record is from Ensembl. Lineage: Eukaryota; Metazoa; Chordata; Actinopteri; Salmoniformes; Salmonidae.